RNAcentral lists this ribosomal RNA (593 nucleotides) under uncultured Burkholderia sp. RNAcentral's name for it is "bacterial SSU rRNA". It matches the Rfam family "Bacterial small subunit ribosomal RNA", at positions 329 to 915 of the family's 1533-position model. The record is from RNAcentral. Lineage: Bacteria; Pseudomonadati; Pseudomonadota; Betaproteobacteria; Burkholderiales; Burkholderiaceae.
CAGGUCACUCCUACGGGAGGCAGCAGUGGGGAAUUUUGGACAAUGGGGGCAACCCUGAUCCAGCAAUGCCGCGUGUGUGAAGAAGGCCUUCGGGUUGUAAAGCACUUUUGUCCGGAAAGAAAACCGCUUCUCUAAUACAGGGGCGGGAUGACGGUACCGGAAGAAUAAGCACCGGCUAACUACGUGCCAGCAGCCGCGGUAAUACGUAGGGUGCAAGCGUUAAUCGGAAUUACUGGGCGUAAAGCGUGCGCAGGCGGUUCGCUAAGACCGAUGUGAAAUCCCCGGGCUUAACCUGGGAACUGCAUUGGUGACUGGCGGGCUAGAGUAUGGCAGAGGGGGGUAGAAUUCCACGUGUAGCAGUGAAAUGCGUAGAGAUGUGGAGGAAUACCGAUGGCGAAGGCAGCCCCCUGGGCCAAUACUGACGCUCAUGCACGAAAGCGUGGGGAGCAAACAGGAUUAGAUACCCUGGUAGUCCACGCCGUAAACGAUGGAUGCUAGCCGUUGGCGAGCUUGCUCGUCAGUGGCGCAGCUAACGCUUUAAGCAUCCCGCCUGGGGAGUACGGUCGCAAGAUUAAAACUUAAAGGAAUUGACG